GGGCGAGAGCAGGCUGGAGGGUGGAACCGCUGAAGAGGCGGAGAGCAGGGUCCUGAGUUCCAGCCCUGCCUGCGAGCUCCCGGGCCCCCUCUUUCCGAUCCAGUGGGUCUUCAGGGGCACCCUGACCGAGGGUUUUGGAAAAGCUUCCCGGGUGAUUCUGCGAAUUAAGGCUCCGAUCUAACCUUACUACUUUACAGCUGGGGAAACCGAGGCACAGACUGUACCAAGGCGCACCAGGUGUUAGCACACUACGAAGAAGCCAAGUGAAAGCCUAUGAGGAGCGACCCGUCCGAGGCCAGGAUUUUCCCCAGGGCCUGGGUCCUGGGGAUCGGGGUUAGAAGAAAGGGUCCUGGGAUUCCGGAAGGCCUGAGCGCCCGCUGCCCCGACAGCUUCGCGGGGUGGAUUCAGCUGGAUCACCGCGAGGGUCCCCGGUCUCACGAAAUUAAUCGAGGAGUAAAGAUUACAUUUAACCUCUGCAGACAGCAAGACAGGGACCACUCUCCCUCCCAGCCUGGCGCCAGCUUGAACCCGAGGGCAUGUCAACAGGAGCCAGGAACUGGAGGCGAAGCAUCUUUCAUUUCCUCUGCGGCGGUGGAACAAGUGAGGGACCUGGCAGCAUCUAGCGGCGUGAUCCAGAGCCUGGUGGAGAGCUGGGAAGCUUGCAGCUCCUCUAAUUCUUACUGCUAUAAACCAAAGGUAUACGUCACUGUGGGAAAAAUAUUAGGAAAUUAGCUGUGAUGUAUGUUUUCAGUGACUGCUCAAAAGCUUCUUAUACUAAUUUAAUUAGAAUAAUUUAUCUUAAUAGAAAGCUGUAAUUUUCUACUUUUUCCAAUCAGUUGAACCAAUCUGCACUUUUUAAAACCCACCCAUAUGGAAUUUAUUACACCAAAACCAAUACUCUAAACCUUUAUUUUUGUGCUAACCAUCAUUAUAACCGAGGAAUUAUGCUAUAGCAAUAGUUGAGACCUCUACUUCUGACUCUGGAACACCAACCUGGAUCAAACCAAGCCUCCAACCUCAAACAAGUAGAACAGCUGGAUAAUUUAAAAAAUCUGUCUAACUUGAGAGAACUUGAGAGGGCAAGAUCCUGGAGAGAACAGAAACAGAAAGGUGAAUCUGACAUUUGACACUUUUGUUCUGGAGGCUGGAAGUCCAAAACCAGGGUGUCAGCAGAUUCGGUUCUUGAUGAGGACUGGCUGGCCGAUUGCCACCUUCUCUCUGUGUCCUCACAAGGCAAAGAGAGGAAGCUCUGAUGUCUCUUUCUGAUCUUAUAAGAGCACUAAUCAAAUCACAGAAGCUCCACCCUUAUGACCUCAACUAAACCUAAUUACCUUCCCAAGGCUUCACUUCCUUAUACCAUCACACUGGGGGCUAAGGCUUCAAUAUAUGAAUUGGGGGGGAGCACAGAUAUUUAGUAUAUAACAGCACUAUUAUUCUUCUCAAGGCAUUUAUCUCUAAGAGCAGUGACUUCAGUGCUAAGAAGCUGAGCAAAGCUUUGGCAGUCUCAGAGAGGCCCUGGUAAUAGCCUAGCCUUUUUGUUAGGACCUCAGAAAGUUUAUACCAGUAGUAUGGGCAAAUCAAAAAAGGACCAACUUUCAAAAAGGUUUUACUCAAAGCAAACUAAGGAUAUGCCCCUAUACCAACUGUAUGACAAGAGCAAAAGAAAAUCUCUGGAGAAAGAUAGCCUCAUCCACAGUAUCACCUUGGUUCUAUAAUUUUUCAUAUACAGUAUGUAGCAGUUGAUCCAAAUUUACUAGGCAUACCAGGAGACAAAACUAAAUCACCCUAAACCAAGAGAGGAAAGAUAAUAGAAACUGAUUGACAGAGUUCCCCUUGUGGCUCAGCGGAAAUGAACCCGACUAGUAUCCAUGAAGAUGUGGGUUCAGUCCCCGGCCUUGCUCAGUGGGUUAAGGAUCCAGUGUAGCCGUGAGCUGUGGUGUAGGUCGCAGAUGUGGGCUCGGAUCCCAUGUCGCUGUGGCUGUGGCAUAGCCUGGCAGCUACAGCUCUGAUUCAGCCCCUAUCUUGGGAAAUUCCAUAUGCUGUUGGUGCAGCCCCCUGAAAAAAAAAACAAGAAGAAACUGAUUCACAGGGAACCAAGUUAUUGGAGUUAUUAGAUAUAGAUAAAAUAUCCUCUGAUCAAUACAUUCAAGGAAAUGAGAGACAGAACGGAUUUUUUUUUUUUUGUCUUUUUAAGGCUGCACCUGUGGCAUAUGGAGGUUCCCAGGCUAGGGGUUGAAUCUGCACUGUAGCCACUGGUCUAUGCCACAGCCACAGCAAUGUGGGAUCAGAGAUGCAUCUGUGACCUACAAAAUAAUGGAAAUAUUAUAACUGAAAAAGUGUAGUUAAAAAUAACUUAUUAGAUGAGUUCCAAGUAGAUGAGACACAAAUUAGGAGAGGAAUAGUGAAUUGGAAGAUAUAUCAGAAAAAAAUGUCUGCAGUGAAGCACAAAAAGACAAAAUGAUGGAAAAUACAGAAUGAGUAUGUCAUAUUUUGGACAUAAUGAAAAGCUUUUACCGUAAUUGUAACUGAGGUCCCAGAGGAAAACAGGAAGAGGGAGAAUUGAACAGAAGCAAUAUUUGAAUAGAUAAUGACCAAGAAUUUUCCGAUGUUGGUGAAAUACAUAAAUCCACAGAUUCAAGAAGCCCUAAGUAAAUAAAUACAUGUAGAAAAAAAUUUAACCCGUGUAUAUAUAAGAAUUAAAAUAGGGAGUUCCCAUCGUGGCAAAGCAGAAACAAAUCCAACCAGGAACCAUGAGGUUGUGAGUUCCAUCCCUGGCCUCACUCAGUGGGUUGAGGACCCGGCGUUGCCUUGAGCUGUGGUGUAGGCCGGCAGCUGUAGCUCCGAUUAGACCCCUAGCCUGGGAACCUCCAUAUGCUGGGGAUGCAGCCCUCAAAAGACAGAAGACAAAAAAAAAAUAUUUUCUCACAGUUCUGAAGGCUGGAAGUCAGAGAUCAGGGUGCCAGCAUGGUCAGAUUCUAGUGAAGGCUGUCUUCCUGGCUUUUAGCUUUUUUUAGGAUCGUACAGGUGGCAUACGAAAGUUCCCGGGCUAGGGGUCCAAUCGGAGCUGUAGCUGCUGGCCUGCAUCACAGCCACAGCAACUCUGGAUCUGAGCCUUGUCUGCAACCCACACCAGAGCUCACAGCAACACCAUAUCCUUAACCCACUGAGCAAGGCCAGGGAUUGAACCCGCAUCCUCAUGGGUACUAGUUGGGUUCAUUAACUGCUGAGCCAUGACAGGAUCUCCCUCUUUUACCGUAAUUGUAACUGAGAUGGCCCUCUUCUUUCUGUAUCCUCAGAUGUCAGAAAGAGCAGAUUCUCUGGUGUCCCUUCUUGUAAGAACCUCAGUUCUAUCAGAUCAGACCUUUAUGACCUCACUUAACCUUAAAGGACCCGUCUUCAAAUCCAGCCACAUUGGGGGUUGAAGCUUCAACAUAUCAAUUUGGUGGGGGCGGAGACACAGUUCAAUUCAUAACAUAAUUUCUUGCUAUAACCUCUAAAGGAAUGGUUAAAAAAAGUGUAACUCACAAGCAAAUACUAGAGGGAGAAAUGAUAUGAAAAUAGUUAAUCUGAAGAAAGAAAACAAAGAAGGUGAUAAUAGAAGAAGACAUAGAAACAUUGUAGAUUUAAACCUAAAUGGGCAACAAUUAAAUUACAUGUGAACGAACUAAACACUGCCAUCAAACUUCAAAAGUUGACUGACAGGAUAAAUAAAUAACGGACAGCCAACUACAUUCUGAGACAUACCUUAGGCAUGAGGAUAAGAAAGGCAGAAAGUGCAAAGAUGGGGAAAAAUAGACCAUCAAAGCAAAGAUUAAAAAGAUUGUUGGGAGGCAGUCAGAAAAACAUUUCUAAUGUGAUGACACAAAUUUGCCAGUUUCAAUAGGAGUUAAUAGAAAAUGUAUUUUUCUGAAUUUUAUUGAAUCAGAUGGAUUGUUCUCACCUGUUUUUUUUGACACUAGCCCUUUUCUUUUCUUUUUCUUCUUUUUUAGCUUUUAUUAAAUCCUUACAAGACAGAAUACAAAAUCCCGGCAUUGAAAGUUGGUGUCAAGGAAAACUUCUGAGCUGUAUCAGUUCACAUGGCACAGUGGAAUUAAAGUGCUUGGAUGUUUUUUCCCCCACUUUAAAAAAAUUUUGAGUUUUUUUUUUUUUUUUUUUUUUUGUCUUUUUUAUGCAACUUAACAUUGAAACUCUGCUGUUCUCCCUUCCCCCAGUGCUAGAGAGCCUGGGACCAGGUUGCUCACUCACAGUAAUUGUUCUGACCCGUCCUCUGAGCCGCGCUGUCGAUAUAACCGGGGGAGGAAGUGACACUAGCCGUUUUCUUAAAGCAGGAUCGCACUCUGUCUUACCUACUAUCCCAUCUAUAUUCAACAAAUCAGGUGCCGAGAGCCUCCUGACAGCCUGAAAGCCAUGCUGUUGAGUCUGGCCAGCUGUGUAUAUGUGGUGCGUAGGCACUUAAAGCUUUCUUUCCGUUCAUCCCAAGUUUGCAGAGCUUUGGCAAAAGUCACUUCACAGUUGGGCAGUGCCUCUCCUGGAGGAGCUCACAACUCCAGAGAGAGAUAGGCAAGCGUAGAGAGGACCCCCAAAUCUCUGAAUAUGCACCGUAGCAAAGGCACCGGAGCCUGAUCAGAGAGGGUCUCAUUCUUCCUGGAUUAUUGAGCACCUACUAUGUGCCAGGCUUCUCAACAUGGUUUUUUUUCUCUGACCUAAGAACCGUAUUUUUUCCAAAAAAUUAUGACAUCUUAAAAAAAGUGAAGAGUUUCCUGGUGGCUCAGCAUGUUGAUGAUCUGAUGUUGUCACUGCUAUGGCUCUGGUUACUGCUGUGGUGCAGGUUCGAUUCCUGGCCCUGGAACUUCUGCAUGGCAUGGGUGUGGCAAGAAAAAGAGAGAGAAAAGUGGGGAAGAUUUUUUUUCUUCCCAGUCAGUGAGUUUUGUGAAAUACCUGUGAAAUUAAGAGCAAAUGGACACAUAGAGAGGCUGAGGGAGGAAAAAAGGGUAGGGAAACCAACCUGUGUAGAGCUGCCAUUGUGUGUUAUCUCACUGAUCACAAUAACCUAAUGGGGGAGGUCCGGAUGCACUUUACAGAUCAGAAAUCGAGGUCCAGAGAGGUCAAGUCACUUUUCCUGAGUCUCCAGCCUGCAAGGUGAGGAGCCGAUCUAUAGAUGCCACGUCUUUUGACUCUUGGUCCAGGGUCCUUGCAUCAGGCAACUGCGUAGUAGGUGUCCUUGAGACCUCCUACGUUCAUGGAGGCCCCGGGCUUGGAGGUGGCACUUGGGAAGCAAUGGGAGGAGAUGGGGGGAAUUGAAAUGCCUGAAUGUCCCAGGUGGGAUUGGAGGCCGAAGCCUCCUCCACCCACCCCUCACCCCUGAGCCUCCUAUCUUUGGGACUCUGUCCCCGUCUCUUAACUGCUGGCAGGUAAUGAGAUAGGUCAUUAGAAGAUGGGCAGAAGCCUUUGUCCUUUUGGGUGAAGGGGACCUCUCAUCAUCAGGGUCCUAGCAUUUUCUCAACAGUUUCCCACAGGUUUCACACUCGUUAAGAACUGGUAUCUGUGUAGUGGUGUCUCUGGAGCAAGGUGUUCACUUAGUGCUUUGGGCCAACAUGGUAGCUUCAGAACCAGACAGGAGAAAAGGGAAGAGAAGACUAUUAUUCAUGGGUGUCUUAGUCUGCUUUAACAAACUACCGUAAGUCAGAGAGCUUAAACAACCGAAAUUUAUUUUCUACAAGUUCUGGAGUGUAGAAGUCUGAGGUUAAGAUGCCAGGAUGGUCAAGCUCUGGUGAAACUCUUUUCCUGGCUUGCAGAAGACAGCCUUCUCCCUGUGUCCUCACAUGGCAGAGAGAUGACAACAGGCUAAUAAGGCCACUAAUCCCAUUGUAGGGGCACCACCCUCAUGAUCUCAUCUAACCUAAUUACCUUCAAAGGCUCCAUCUCCAAACACCAUCAUGUUUGAGGGUAGGGCUUCAACAUAGAAAUUUGAGGUGGGGGGACAUAAUUCAGUCCAUAACCAUUGUUUUGGGUUUGUUUGUUUGUUUUGUUUUUUUGUUUCUUUGGGGUUUUUUUGUUUUGGUUUUUUUUUUUGUUUUGUUUUGUUUUGUUUUUUGCUUUGUGGCAAAUCUCUUCAUCUCUUACCGGUGUCAUGGACAUAUUAUGAUUCCAAAGGGGUAGAAAGUAAGAGUCCCUGCUCUGCUGUCUGUUCUUUUCCCUUUGUCCCUUCAGGGGUCCUUUGGCAGAUUUGCAGCCAGGAAUCAGGAAGGACCAACCUUCUUACUGAUUUAAAAAAAAAAAAAAAAAAA
Molecule: long non-coding RNA, 6287 nt
Filed under: Sus scrofa (pig)
Lineage: Eukaryota; Metazoa; Chordata; Mammalia; Artiodactyla; Suidae
Description: lncRNA (ENSSSCG00005028953.1)
Source: RNAcentral